This 1131-nucleotide long non-coding RNA is filed under the name Marmota monax (woodchuck). The record is from RNAcentral. Lineage: Eukaryota; Metazoa; Chordata; Mammalia; Rodentia; Sciuridae.
CUCAUGGGAGGAGGUCUAGGAUUAGAGUCAGAAAACUGCCUUUUUUGAGCACCCUGAUCUGAUUUUUGUUGUAGCCAGAGCUGAGCUUUCAGGAAAAAAAUAAAACACUGUCCUGGCAGGUGACAAGAUGGGCUACAGACCAGGUGGCACCUUAUUUAAACCUUAAAGGUCUUGUGAGAUCUAGCUGAUCUUUUGCAUCUCACACUCUUCUCUCCAUUGCUCUCUGGGCUACAGCCACACUCUGGAAAAAAGCAGUUUGCCUCAGGGCACUUACAGUUGGCCAUUCCUCUGCCUGCACAUCUUUGCAUCAUGACUGCCUCCUGUCAUUGAGACCUCAGCUUAAAUGAUACCCAGAAAGGGUCCUUCCCAAUCCCCUUAUCUGGAGCAGCCUCACCUCAGAAACUUUCACUUAGCCCUGUUUAAUAACCUUCAUAGCACUUACUAAUACACGAAAUUCUCUUGCUUAUGUGCUUACUUCAUAAAAGCCUGCCAUCCUCCAUUGGAAUUUCAGACACCUUGCCUGCCUUGUUGGUUGCAGCAUUAGUAUGAUUGAACAGAGUUCCUGGGAUCUGCUUACUCACUCAUUCAGUAAAUAUAUGUUGGAGGGAGAGGGCAAUUCUAUGGCCAUGAGCAAUUCCAUAUUCUGAGGAUACAAAGAAAAGACAAAAAUUCCUGCCCUUGUGGAAUCUAUACUUAGAAGGAGGUAGGCAGAAUUGGAGAUCAGGAAGACUGAGAAUGAGGAGGCUGAGAUUACUGCUGCUCAGACGAUGGGGAUUGCCUUAGAGGUGAUGAAAAGUGGUAAGGUUCUGGAUGUAUUUCAGAAGGGCAGGGGCAGAGUCUGGUAUAGGGUGUGUAAGGAAGAAAACGAGAAGGAUGAGUUCAAGAGUUUUGGCCUGAAAACUGGAAAGAUGGAGGUGCUGUCCGCUGAGAUGGAGAAAGCCUCAAGAGAAGAGGUUGAGGUGCCUGGAGCUCAAUUUUGGACAUGUUACUUUGCAUUCAUAGACAUCCGGUGAAGUUGUGUCCAAGACAAGGAGACCAUUGGGUCUGUGGUGGAGGCUGAAGAGGUGGGAUGCAUGAAGCCCAAGGAUCUCCGUGGAGGUGUGAGGAGGGAGCAGGCAGAGGCCCAAAAGA